RNAcentral lists this signal recognition particle RNA (299 nucleotides) under Aotus nancymaae (Ma's night monkey). RNAcentral describes it as "Metazoan signal recognition particle RNA (ENSANAG00000010222.1)". It matches the Rfam family "Metazoan signal recognition particle RNA". From Rfam's summary of the family: The signal recognition particle (SRP) is a universally conserved ribonucleoprotein. It is involved in the co-translational targeting of proteins to membranes. The eukaryotic SRP consists of a 300-nucleotide 7S RNA and six proteins: SRPs 72, 68, 54, 19, 14, and 9. Lineage: Eukaryota; Metazoa; Chordata; Mammalia; Primates; Aotidae. The record is from RNAcentral.
GCCAGGCGCAGUAGUGCGUGCCUAUAGUCCCAGCUACUCGGGAGGCUGAGGUGGGAGAAUCAAUUGAGUCCAGGAGUUCUGGGCUAUAGUAUACUAUGUUGAUCGGGUGUCCGCACUAAGUUCAGCAUCAAUAUGGUGACCUCCUGGGAGUGGGGGACCACCAGGUUGCCUAAGGAGGGGUGAACCUGCCCAGGUCGGAAACAGAGCAGGUCAAAACUCCCGUGCUGAUCAGUAGUGGGAUCACGCCUGUGAAUAGCCAUUGCACUCCAGCCUGGGCAACAUGGCGAGACACAGUCUCU